GAUGAACGCUGGCGGCGUGCCUAAUACAUGCCAGUCGAGCGAACAGACGAGGAGCUUGCUCCUCUGACGUUAGCGGCGGACGGGUGAGUAACACGUGGAUAACCUACCUAUAAGACUGGGAUAACUUCGGGAAACCGGAGCUAAUACCGGAUAACAUGUUGAACCGCAUGGUUCAACAGUGAAAGACGGUCUUGCUGUCACUUAUAGAUGGAUCCGCGCCGCAUUAGCUAGUUGGUAAGGUAACGGCUUACCAAGGCAACGAUGCGUAGCCGACCUGAGAGGGUGAUCGGCCGCACUGGAACUGAGACACGGUCCAGACUCCUACGGGAGGCAGCAGUAGGGAAUCUUCCGCAAUGGGCGAAAGCCUGACGGAGCAACGCCGCGUGAGUGAAGAAGGUCUUCGGAUCGUAAAACUCUGUUAUUAGGGAAGAACAAAUGUGUAAGUAACUAUGCACGUCUUGACGGUACCUAAUCAGAAAGCCACGGCUAACUACGUG
Molecule: ribosomal RNA, 497 nt
Filed under: uncultured bacterium
Lineage: Bacteria
Description: partial 16S ribosomal RNA
Rfam family: Bacterial small subunit ribosomal RNA
Source: RNAcentral